CAACUGCCCCCUAACACAGAUCAGGAACCAGCAAUAUGGAGCAUGAGCCAAUGGAUCUUCCUUUCUUUUGGGAGACAGCGCUAUGCAUCAAGGAGGUCCAGUGAGCCAGUCCCUUUGGACUUGAUCUGCCCCAAUGGAGGUGAUGGUAUUAAUAUCCUGAGGACAUUUUAAGGGUGAAAAGUCUGGGCUGGGGGCCUGAGGGAGGAAAUGUGGUGUAGUGAUACAGUUAA
Long non-coding RNA from Neopelma chrysocephalum (saffron-crested tyrant-manakin), 230 nucleotides. RefSeq lists it as uncharacterized. The transcript is spliced from 3 exons. NCBI's taxonomy places the organism in Eukaryota, Metazoa, Chordata, Aves, Passeriformes, Pipridae. The record is from RefSeq and is a predicted model, not a curated record.